RNAcentral lists this ribosomal RNA (301 nucleotides) under uncultured bacterium. RNAcentral's name for it is "partial 16S ribosomal RNA". It matches the Rfam family "Bacterial small subunit ribosomal RNA", at positions 509 to 807 of the family's 1533-position model. The record is from RNAcentral.
CAGCAGCCACGGUAACACGUAGGUGGCAAGCGUUGUCCGGAAUUAUUGGGCGUAAAGGGCUCGCAGGCGGUUUCUUAAGUCUGAUGUGAAAGCCCCCGGCUCAACCGGGGAGGGUCAUUGGAAACUGGGAAACUUGAGUGCUGAAGAGGAGAGUGGAAUUCCACGUGUAGCGGUGAAAUGCGUAGAGAUGUGGAGGAACACCAGUGGCGAAGGCGACUCUCUGGUCUGUAACUGACGCUGAGGAGCGAAAGCGUGGGGAGCGAACAGGAUUAGAUACCCGCGUAGUCCCUGUCUCUUAUAC